UGCCAGCCGCCGCGGUAAUACGAAUGGAGCGAGCGUUGUUCGGAAUCAUUGGGCGUAAAGCGUAUGUAGGCGGAACAGAAAGUCAGAAGUGAAAUCCCGAGGCUCAACCUCGGAACUGCUUUUGAAACUUCUGUUCUAGUAUCCCGGAGGGGUUGACGGAAUUCCGAGUGUAGAGGUGAAAUUCGCAGAUAUUCGGAGGAACACCAGUGGCGUAGGCGGUCAACUGGACGGGUAUAGACGCUGAGAUACGAAAGCGUGGAUAGCAGACAGGAUUAGAUA
RNAcentral lists this ribosomal RNA (279 nucleotides) under uncultured bacterium. RNAcentral's name for it is "partial 16S ribosomal RNA". It matches the Rfam family "Bacterial small subunit ribosomal RNA", at positions 506 to 784 of the family's 1533-position model. The record is from RNAcentral.